CCUACGGUGUGCUGCAGUGAGGAAUAUUGGUCAAUGGACGCAAGUCUGAACCAGCCAUGCCGCGUGCAGGACGACGGCUCUAUGAGUUGUACACUGCUUUUGUACGAGGGUAAACGCAGAUACGCGUAUAUGUCUGAAAGUAUCGUACGAAUAAGGAUAGGCUAACUCCGUGCCAGCAGCCGAGGUAAUACGGAGGAUUCAAGCGUUAUCCGGAUUUAUUGGGUUUAAAGGGUGCGUAGGGGGUCGGAUAAGUUAGAGGUGAAAUCCCGAGGCUCAACUUCGGAAUUGCCUGUGAUACUUUUCGGCUAGAGAGUAGUAGCGGUAGGCGGAAUGUAUGGUGUAGCGGUGAAAUGCUUAGAGAUCAUACAGAACACCGAUUGCGAAGGCAGCUUACCAAGCUACUUCUGACGUUGAGGCACGAAAGCGUGGGGAGCAAACAGGAUUAGAUACCCGAGUAGUC
Molecule: ribosomal RNA, 460 nt
Filed under: uncultured bacterium
Lineage: Bacteria
Description: partial 16S ribosomal RNA
Rfam family: Bacterial small subunit ribosomal RNA
Source: RNAcentral